This 675-nucleotide ribosomal RNA is filed under the name Triticum aestivum (bread wheat). Its description in RNAcentral is "partial small subunit ribosomal RNA". Lineage: Eukaryota; Viridiplantae; Streptophyta; Magnoliopsida; Poales; Poaceae. The record is from RNAcentral.
AUGGGGUUUAGUGCAUAUCAAAAUAUAUCGGCGGCAAUGCGGGUACUCGCUUAUGGCAUACCCGCGGAUUAUACCGACGAGUAUCUUCGCAUUGGGCAAGAUACAACCACGGAGUCCGUCCGUAGGUUUGCCAAGUUGGUCAUCCGGUUGUAUGGUGAGCAGUAUCUUCGGGUACCAAACGAGGAAGAUACAAAGAGAUUAAUGGAAAUGAAUGAAAAAAGGGGAUGGCCGGGGAUGCUUGGUAGUCUUGAUUGCAUGCAUUGGAGGUGGAAAAAUUGCCCAAAGACAUGGCACGGAAUGUAUUACGGUAAAAGCUGUGAUGCUACCAUUGUGCUUGAGGCCAUAGCAUCGGAGGUCACAUGGAUUUGGCAUGCAUUCUUUGGGUUGCCGGGAACACUCAAUGAUAUCAAUGUCCUCAAUAGAUCUCCUUUGUUCAAAAGAUUAAUUUCUGUGGAUGCUCCAGCUUGCAACUACAAAAUCAUGGACAAUGAGUACUCAAUGGGAUACUAUCUCGUCGAUGGCAUCUAUCCCGAAUGGGCAACUCUUGUGAAGUCCAUCAAGGAGAAAAAUGGGGUGCCCUUAACAAGAAAAGAGGCUCAUUUCACCAAGGCACAAGAGGCAGCCCGCAAGGAUAUUGAGAGAGCUUUCGGUGUUUUGCAAGCAAGGUUUGCAUAG